Molecule: ribosomal RNA, 460 nt
Filed under: uncultured bacterium
Lineage: Bacteria
Description: partial 16S ribosomal RNA
Rfam family: Bacterial small subunit ribosomal RNA
Source: RNAcentral
CCUACGGGAGGCAGCAGUGAGGAAUAUUGGUCAAUGGACGCAAGUCUGAACCAGCCAUGCCGCGUGCAGGAAGACGGCUCUAUGAGUUGUAAACUGCUUUUGUACGAGGGUAAUACCCGUUACGUGUAUCGGGUUGACAGUACCGUACGAAUAAGGAUCGGCUAACUCCGUGCCAGCAGCCGCGGUAAUACGGAGGAUUCAAGCGUUAUCCGGAUUUAUUGGGUUUAAAGGGUGCGUAGGCGGUUCGAUAAGGUUGGGGGUAAAUCACUGGGGUUAACACCGGCACUGCCUUUAAUACUGUCGGGCUAGAGGAUAGUUGCGGUAGGCGGAAUAAAUGGUGUAGCGGUGAAAUGCAUAGAGAUCAUACAGAACACCGAUAGCGAAGGCAGCUUACCAAACUACGUCUGACGUUGAUGCACGAGAGCAUGGGGAGCAAACAGGAUUAGAUACCCCAGUAGUC